This 74-nucleotide transfer RNA is filed under the name Chloroflexota bacterium. RNAcentral describes it as "Chloroflexi bacterium tRNA-Gln". It matches the Rfam family "tRNA". Rfam says of the family: Transfer RNA (tRNA) molecules are approximately 80 nucleotides in length. Their secondary structure includes four short double-helical elements and three loops (D, anti-codon, and T loops). Further hydrogen bonds mediate the characteristic L-shaped molecular structure. tRNAs have two regions of fundamental functional importance: the anti-codon, which is responsible for specific mRNA codon recognition, and the 3' end, to which the tRNAs corresponding amino acid is attached (by aminoacyl-tRNA synthetases). tRNAs cope with the degeneracy of the genetic code in two manners: having more than one tRNA (with a specific anti-codon) for a particular amino acid; and 'wobble' base-pairing, i.e. permitting non-standard base-pairing at the 3rd anti-codon position. Lineage: Bacteria; Bacillati; Chloroflexota. RNAcentral also lists the same sequence under 2 other names. The record is from RNAcentral.
UGCCCUAUGGUGUAGCGGUAGCACACCGGCCUUUGAAGCCGUCAGCCCUGGUUCGAAUCCAGGUAGGGCAGCCA